UGGGGAAUUUUGGACAAUGGGCGAAAGCCUGAUCCAGCAAUGCCGCGUGUGUGAAGAAGGCCUUCGGGUUGUAAAGCACUUUUGUCCGGAAAGAAAUCCUCUGGGUUAAUACCUCGGGGGGAUGACGGUACCGGAAGAAUAAGCACCGGCUAACUACGUGCCAGCAGCCGCGGUAAUACGUAGGGUGCAAGCGUUAAUCGGAAUUACUGGGCGUAAAGCGUGCGCAGGCGGUUUUGUAAGACGGAUGUGAAAUCCCCGGGCUUAACCUGGGAACUGCAUUCGUGACUGCAAGGCUAGAGUAUGGCAGAGGGGGGUUAGAAUUCCACGUGUAGCAGUGAAAUGCGUAGAGAUGUGGAGGAAUACCGAUGGCGAAGGCAGCCCCCUGGGCCAAUACUGACGCUCAUGCACGAAAGCGUGGGGAGCAAACAGGAUUAGAUACCCUGGUAGUCCACGCCCUAAACGAUGUCAACUAGUUGUUGGGGAUUCAUUUCCUUAGUAACGUAGCUAACGCGUGAAGUUGACCGCCUGGGGAGUACGGUCGCAAGAUUAAACUCAAAUGAAUUGACGGGGUCAUAGCUG
This 579-nucleotide ribosomal RNA is filed under the name uncultured bacterium. Its description in RNAcentral is "partial 16S ribosomal RNA". It matches the Rfam family "Bacterial small subunit ribosomal RNA", at positions 355 to 932 of the family's 1533-position model. The record is from RNAcentral.